This 253-nucleotide ribosomal RNA is filed under the name uncultured bacterium. Its description in RNAcentral is "partial 16S ribosomal RNA". It matches the Rfam family "Bacterial small subunit ribosomal RNA", at positions 524 to 776 of the family's 1533-position model. The record is from RNAcentral.
UACGUAGGUGGCAAGCGUUGUUCGGAAUCACUGGGCGUAAAGGGUGCGUAGGCCGCACGGUAAGUCAGAGGUGAAAUCCCGGAGCUCAACUCCGGAAUGGCCUCCGAUACUGCCGUGCUCGAGGACUGGAGAGGAGUCUGGAAUUCACAGUGGAGCAGUGAAAUGCGUAGAUAUUGUGAGGAACACUAGUGGCGAAGGCGAGACUCUGGACAGUUCCUGACGCUGAGGCACGAAGGCCAGGGGAGCAAACGGG